RNAcentral lists this transfer RNA (75 nucleotides) under Actinomadura viridis. It matches the Rfam family "tRNA". Rfam says of the family: Transfer RNA (tRNA) molecules are approximately 80 nucleotides in length. Their secondary structure includes four short double-helical elements and three loops (D, anti-codon, and T loops). Lineage: Bacteria; Bacillati; Actinomycetota; Actinomycetes; Streptosporangiales; Thermomonosporaceae. The record is from Rfam by way of RNAcentral. RNAcentral also lists the same sequence under 1 other name.
GCCCCCGUCGCCCAACAGGCAGAGGCGCCUGCCCGAGGAGCAGGAAUGGUGCGGGUUCGACUCCCGCCGGGGGUA